Molecule: ribosomal RNA, 497 nt
Filed under: uncultured bacterium
Lineage: Bacteria
Description: partial 16S ribosomal RNA
Rfam family: Bacterial small subunit ribosomal RNA
Source: RNAcentral
GAUGAACGCUGGCGGCGUGCCUAAUACAUGCAAGUCGAGCGAACGGACGAGAAGCUUGCUUCUCUGAUGUUAGCGGCGGACGGGUGAGUAACACGUGGAUAACCUACCUAUAAGACUGGGAUAACUUCGGGAAACCGGAGCUAAUACCGGAUAAUAUUUUGAACCGCAUGGUUCAAAAGUGAAAGACGGUCUUGCUGUCACUUAUAGAUGGAUCCGCGCUGCAUUAGCUAGUUGGUAAGGUAACGGCUUACCAAGGCAACGAUGCAUAGCCGACCUGAGAGGGUGAUCGGCCACACUGGAACUGAGACACGGUCCAGACUCCUACGGGAGGCAGCAGUAGGGAAUCUUCCGCAAAGGGCGAAAGCCUGACGGAGCAACGCCGCGUGAGUGAUGAAGGUCUUCGGAUCGUAAAACUCUGUUAUUAGGGAAGAACAUAUGUGUAAGUAACUGUGCACAUCUUGACGGUACCUAAUCAGAAAGCCACGGCUAACUACUUG